CACUUGCUCCAUAAGUAUCGAAGGCCCUUUUGAAUUUGGCCCCUCCCUUUGACUAAUUUUACAAUAUCUCCAAGAUUUGAAGACAAUUUGAAGCAGACAGGAAAAAAACUGCCGUGCUAUCGAAAGGCAGAGCAGAAAAGACGAUGUGUGGAGUCAUUGAGGUUUGUGGCUAAUAUCUGCAAGACGCUGUGCCCGCCUCUCAACUCUGCAGUUUUGUGUGACAAGCAGUCGAUGCAGUGAGAAAAUCCAUUUUGUCAGCUCAAUGAGCUGAGGGGACGCCCGUGGACACAGGCAAGUCACAGCCCUCUGAGCUCUCCCGUCGCUGCAGGGUAGCC
Molecule: long non-coding RNA, 335 nt
Filed under: Rattus norvegicus (Norway rat)
Lineage: Eukaryota; Metazoa; Chordata; Mammalia; Rodentia; Muridae
Description: long non-coding RNA NONRATT033493
Source: RNAcentral